CCUACGGGAGGCAGCAGUGAGGAAUAUUGGUCAAUGGACGAGAGUCUGAACCAGCCAAGUAGCGUGAAGGAUGACUGCCCUAUGGGUUGUAAACUUCUUUUAUAUGGGAAUAAAAUGUUCCACGUGUGGGAUUUUGUAUGUACCAUAUGAAUAAGGAUCGGCUAACUCCGUGCCAGCAGCCGCGGUAAUACGGAGGAUCCGAGCGUUAUCCGGAUUUAUUGGGUUUAAAGGGAGCGUAGGUGGAUGGUUAAGUCAGUUGUGAAAGUUUGCGGCUCAACCGUAAAAUUGCAGUUGAAACUGGGAGUCUUGAGUACAGUAGAGGUGGGCGGAAUUCGUGGUGUAGCGGUGAAAUGCUUAGAUAUCACGAAGAACUCCGAUUGCGAAGGCAGCUCACUGGACUGCAACUGACACUGAGGCUCGAAAGUGCGGGUAUCAAACAGGAUUAGAUACCCUAGUAGUC
Molecule: ribosomal RNA, 460 nt
Filed under: uncultured bacterium
Lineage: Bacteria
Description: partial 16S ribosomal RNA
Rfam family: Bacterial small subunit ribosomal RNA
Source: RNAcentral